CCACCGAGGCGACGAUGCGUAGGGGUUCUGAGAGGAAGGUCCCCCACCCCGGUACUGAGACACGGACCAGCCUCCUCCGGGAGGCAGCAGUGAGGAAUAUUGGUCAAUGGGCGGGAGCCUGAACCAGCCAAGCCGCGUGAGGGAAUAAGGCCCUAUGGGUCGUAAACCUCUUUUGUCGGGGAACAAAAGCGGGGACGCGUCCCCGUCUGCGUGUACCCGAAGAAAAAGCAUCGGCUAACUCCGUGCCAGCAGCCGCGGUGGUUCGGCGGCUGCGUGCGUUGUCCGGCUUUUUUGGGUUUUUUGGGUGCGUCGGCGGUGUGGUGAGUCGGCGGUGGUGGCCCGGGGCUCAACCCCCGGCGAGCCGUUGAAACUGCCGUGCUAGAGAGGAAGAGAAGUAGGCGGAAUGCGCCAGUGUAGCGGUGAAAUGCUUAGAUAUUGCGCAGAACUCCGAUUGCGAAGGCAGCCUACCGGCUUCUGUCUGACGCUGAGGCACGAAAGCGUGGGUAUCGAACAGGAUUAGAUACCCUGGUAGUCCACGCAGUAAACGAUGAAUGCCGGCUGUCCGGUCCGACUGAGGACUGGGUGGCGAAGCGAAAGCGAUAAGCAUUCCACCUGGGGAGUACGCCGGCAACGGUGAAACUCAAAGGAAUUGACGGGGGCCCGCACAAGCGGAGGAACAUGUGGUUUAAUUCGAUGAUACGCGAGGAACCUUACCCGGGCUCAAACGGGAGAUGACGCGGGCAGAGACGCCCGUUUCUUAGGACAUCUUCCGAGGUGCUGCAUGGUUGUCGUCAGCUCGUGCCGUGAGGUGUCGGCUUAAGUGCCAUAACGAGCGCAACCCCUGCCGACAGUUGCUAACGCGUUGAGGCGAGGACUCUGUCGGGACUGCCGGCGCAAGCCGCGAGGAAGGCGGGGAUGACGUCAAAUCAGCACGGCCCUUACGUCCGGGGCGACACACGUGUUACAAUGGGGGGUACAGCGGGAAGCCAGGCGGCGACGCCGAGCGGAACCCGAAAGCCUCUCUCAGUUCGGAUCGGAGUCUGCAACCCGACUCCGUGAAGCUGGAUUCGCUAGUAAUCGCGCAUCAGCCAUGGCGCGGUGAAUACGUUCCCGGGCCUUGCACUCACCGCCCGUCAAG
Molecule: ribosomal RNA, 1138 nt
Filed under: uncultured bacterium
Lineage: Bacteria
Description: bacterial SSU rRNA
Rfam family: Bacterial small subunit ribosomal RNA
Source: RNAcentral